This 221-nucleotide long non-coding RNA is filed under the name Elaeis guineensis (African oil palm). Its description in RNAcentral is "long non-coding RNA (EGUI_LNC037942)". The record is from RNAcentral. Lineage: Eukaryota; Viridiplantae; Streptophyta; Magnoliopsida; Arecales; Arecaceae.
GCAUCUAAGACACACAUCUAACAAUAAGAGCACCCCAUCAAAUGAAAAAAGAAGAUCUUUAAACCUUUCUUACUCCUAUAAUCGAACGGUCUGACGAUCAACCUAAUCCAAGUACUUGCUAAUCGGACCAUCUAAUCUAAUCAUAUCAUAUAUGCUUGAAUUUAGAUCUAAUCUAAAUUAUAUCAGAUCUGAUCAUAAUCUUAGAUGACAUCUAAAUUAGA